This 284-nucleotide ribosomal RNA is filed under the name uncultured prokaryote. RNAcentral describes it as "partial 16S ribosomal RNA". It matches the Rfam family "Bacterial small subunit ribosomal RNA", at positions 524 to 819 of the family's 1533-position model. The record is from RNAcentral.
UACGUAGGGGCUAGCGUUAUCCGGAAUUACUGGGCGUAAAGGGUGCGUAGGUGGUUUCUUAAGUCAGAGGUGAAAGGCUACGGCUCAACCGUAGUAAGCCUUUGAAACUGGGAAACUUGAGUGCAGGAGAGGAGAGUGGAAUUCCUAGUGUAGCGGUGAAAUGCGUAGAUAUUAGGAGGAACACCAGUGGCGAAGGCGACUUACUGGACUGUAACUGACGCUGAGGCGCGAAAGCGUGGGGAGCAAACAGGAUUAGAUACCCGGGUAGUCCCUGAGCGGGCUGG